This is a long non-coding RNA of Seriola aureovittata, 7494 nucleotides long. RefSeq lists it as uncharacterized. The record is from RefSeq and is a predicted model, not a curated record. The transcript is spliced from 3 exons. NCBI's taxonomy places the organism in Eukaryota, Metazoa, Chordata, Actinopteri, Carangiformes, Carangidae.
AGAGGCUGCCCCUACUUUUUUUUUUUCCCUCCUCCCUCCUCCCUCUCCCCCUCCCUCUUCCCUCCUCUCUUUUUUCUGAAUGGAUGUCCUCUCCCUAACCUCAAUUGAAGCUGUGUAACAGGACACUGCCCUCCGCCGCUGCAGGCUCAGCCCCCUCUUUAACUGCCACACUAUAAGAGAGUGCAGCGUCGGCCGCUGAGUGUGUGUGAGAGAGUAUGUCCGACAGUGUCAGUCAGGGGGCUGAGGGAGAGGAAGGGAGGGCGAAGGGUGAGAGAGAGAGAGAGAGGGAGGGAGAGAGGGAGACUUGCUGUGGAAACAUGUGACAGCGCUACGUUAGCGAGGCUUACAGGGAGUUUAAUGGCUGUAGUGUCUCUGGGAAAGCACCUUUAGCCCAGAGGGAGCCGCACACACUGUCUCUGUGUGUGUGUGUGAGAGAGAGAGAGAGAGAGUGUGUGAGGGAGAGAGAGAGAGAGAGAGAGAGUGUGAGGGAGAGAGAGAGAGAGAGCUGCUGCUGUCACUUUAAGCCUGUUACUGAUUACACUCAGAAGAAUGCAACGGGAGGAGGAAGAGAAGAAAGAGAUGAGGAGACAUAGUUAAAGUUGAAGGAGAACCCGGAAUCCCUCUCGUGAAGCGAGGGACAGAGCUAAACGGACACCCCUAAGACAUGGAGGACAAACUUUUUUAAGAGAGAGAGAGAGAGAGAGAGGUGGGGGGGUUCCCUGAUUCCUAACUCAGUGCCGGGAGGAAACACUACUCUUCUACUCUCACCCAGACGGGUAAGUAAGAAAGAACGAAAGGAAGAAAAAAAGAGAGAGAGAAAGUGGAGCUGCUGCUGCUGUUGAUGGAUUUCAUAUGUUACAAGUUAAGGUUGAGAAACGGCUCCCAGAGCGUUCACAGGCGGAGCGGCGCCGAGAGGAGGACGAGCAGGUUUAGGCUCGGAGGAGGAGGAGGAGGAUGUUCUGAGUGUGAAUGGUUACAGGAGAGCCGGUUCACGCUCCCUCCGUCCAAUCGUGUGUCACACCUCUUACAUUACUACGGCCAGGGUGAGACGGGAAACGCGGCGUGUGGCGUGUGCUGUCGUCAGUGCCGUAAUUAUAUACCUGACACCGUCUCAUGGCGCCGGAGCCGUGUGAUAAAAAUAGAUCUUUGAAGCUAAUAGGCUUCUUUUUUUGCUUUCUUCAUACACAGAGAGAGAGAGCACUUCCUCUCUGCCUCAGUCAUGCCGCCCCCUCCCCCCUUCAUUUUGACACAGAUAGCACAGGGUGUGUGAGUGUGAGUGUGUGUGUGUGUGUGUGUGUGUGUGUGUGUGUGUGGGGUGGGGGGUGAUACAGUAUCGUACAGCACAGUGUGGCUUCUUUAUGAAUGGACAUGGCAGCCGGCUGAUGUGAUUGGCCGUGAGAGGAGUGACGACUGAUGAUGAGCUGCAGAGGUUUAGAUUGGUUCUGCCCUUUUGCUGUCGCCGCUGCCGCCGCUACCAUCUCUCCUGGUUACCACCUCUUAAAGCGAUGCAGCGUGUGUAUAUGUAUCAGUGUGUGUGUGUGUGUGUGUGUGUGUGUGUGUGAGAGACAUACAGAGAGAGAGAGUGUUUGUGGGGUUGUGUGAAUCAGUGCUAGUGGUUCUGGGUUACAUGUGUUUGUCUAAGGGGGCUUAGUCACAGGCUGAACAGUGGGGCGUGUGUGUGUGUGUGUGUGUGUGUGUGUGUGUGUGUGUGUGUGUGUGUGUCCUGACUUUUAAAAGUUGUGGCUCUCAGCCCAGCUGUUGUUCUUCAAAUUAUCUCCCACUCUCUCUGACUAAGACGUCUCUCUCUCUCAUGCUCUCAUUACUCUUACUCACCCGUCAUGUAAUAAGAGGGCAGGUCUCCAGCACGAUGUCAUAAUAAUAAUAAUUAUUAUUAUUAUUAUUAUAAAAAUGUUUCUUGCUGAAUCACCCGAGACAUUCAUUUUUCCUGUUUAACAAUUUAAAUAUUAUAAAAAGGAAGUGACACUGUAGAUUUUGUUAAGAUGCUGAGAUGUGUGUGUGUGUGUGUUGCAUCUAUCUGUCUAAAGUGUGUGUGUGUGUGUUGCAUCUAUCUGUCUAAAGUGUGUGUGUGUGUGUGUGUGUGUGACAGAGAGAGAGUGAGGAGUGGUGAUAAGGAGCCGGCUGUAAACCGUCCCGUUGGAGCGCAGGGAUCUGUGAGCGCUUAUCAAGGCGGUGUUUCCGGCAUGAGAGUGUGAUAGCGGGCAGAUUGUCGGCGAGAUGCGUCGCAGGUAUCUUGAUGAGGGAGAUUAAAUUCCUCGGUGGAGAUUAGCGUGGAAUCUGGCCUCGGCCUUAUCAGCGUGCCUACAGACUGAACCCUGCCCCGUCCUACUUGGCAGGAAGCAGCUGAGCGGACCAACCGCACCGCUGCCGCCAAACGCCAUGUCUGAAAAGUUCAACAUUGGAUUAUUAGGCAAUUAUCAUAUUUUAGUAAAAUGUACAAUAGUAUAAAUAGUAGAUCAGAUCAUAAUAUUACCUGAUUUUAUUUUGUUUUUUCUGGUUAAUUUAAAGCUCCAUAUUUUCUUCUUCUUCUGUGUUUUAUUUGAAGUGUUGAUCCAUCAGAAGAUAUAAAAACCAUCUCAGUGUAGUUUAACAUCUCCUCUCUCAGGCUUCUCUCUGGAGCUCUAGUAACAACAGGUCAGUGAACCAAUCAGAAGAGAGGAGGCUCUGAGCCUCUCUUCUGAUUGGCUGACUGUUUUCUGAGUGAUCCAAUAAAUAUACAGCAGAUUUCAGAUAAAAGACUCGGAGAAAUCAAAUCCUGCAAAGUUUGGAUGGUGGGUCCAGGUGGGCGGGGCUUGGUGACUGCUUUGUUGUGACAUCACAAAGUUCCAGAAGUCCUGACGGCUGGUUUUAAGGCUCAGUUUCUGAAUACAGGCUGUGUGCAUUAAAAUGAAAACCAUCUUACUGAUGGAUGUAGUGAUUAUUCAGUGAUGUGUGAAGUCAGUCCGGCAGCGGCUCAGCUACAGCAGUAAAGGUGGAGUGCAGGUGGUGGUCAUGUGCUGAAUGUCCAGUCAUGUCUUCAGGUGGAGCUCUGCUUAAGGAAAGUGGCAGGUGAUUCACUGAGGUGGGAAAAGUUAAAGGGAGUGAAGCUGUAAAUCAUCAGCGGUAGGAUUUAGUUGUUGGCUGUAUUAGAAACACACACACACACACAGAGGCUGGUGUCAGGAGGUAAGACGUUGUGACACACUGUAGUCGUUCCAACAUCGGCGGCGUUAUGUAACUGAAAGUGGGUUAAGCGGCGUUGAGAACAAUCUUAACUAUCACUCGACUCGCUCCUUCUUUUCUUCUCCUCACUUUCCUUUUCGCAUGAGUCGUCUUUGUUUACACAGCAACAGGUCGCUCACACGGCGUCUGUCAUUCACGGCCAGAUUGUGGAGUUAAGAGCUCGGCAGCGCGACUCAGACGUCACGGAGGCUGAACGCAGUUUGGUUUAUGUGCACAACAGCAGAAGCCCGUUAGAGCACCUGUGUGCGUGUGUGUGUGCGUGUGCGUGUGUGUGUGUGCGUGUGUGUGUGUGCAUGUUUUUUUUUUUUUUUCCUGUGUGCUCAAGAGCGCUCGUUCCAACGGUGUACUAACCACACACCUGGCCUGUUUCCUCCUCUGCUCAUAUAUGGGCAAAGCUUCCCCUACCUGGGCCCCACUCUGAAUUCCAAUAAGUGGCUGUGUGUGUGUGUGUGUGUGUGUGUGUGUGUGUGUGUGUGUGUGUGUGUGUGUGUGUGUGUGUGUGUGUGUGUGUGUGUGCGAGGAAGAGGCUGUAGAGACGGAUGCACGUCAUGGAAAACCAGGAUCAAUGGGCAAGGCCAGCAGAGCUGCGUUUUUAAGGUGUUCCUUUUGUUUUCCAAAGGUAAUCAGUUGACACAAUGAGUCAGCUGAUUAUUCCGAGCGGCUGCAGUCGGAGGACGUCAGUCAGGAGCUGCGUUCAUGUCGCUGUCGUACAAGUCGAACCAAAUCCCCGUGAUUCCUGCGGAUCAGCCGGAUUAUUAAAUCAGGAAUCGAGUUCUUGAUUAAAGGAUCUGAUGGUUAAAGCAGAAACGAUAUUCAGCCACUUUGACAUCUGGUGCUGACACCUCCUGUCACUGAGUUAGCCCCCCCCCCCCCCGUUUAUCAGUGAGUGUGUUAGCGUUCAGGGUGGAGGCCGUUCAGGUAUCAGCAGCCAGGUCGUGGCGCUCUCAAACAGAGCGGACAUUAUAACGUUGCGGCCUUGUGUUGGGGCUAAUGAAGCAGAUUUAUGGCUGUUUGCCGGGGGGGUGCAACGCUAGUCCGGCUUAAACCCUGUGACCCCCACAAAGAACAAGACGGGGGGGGGGGCAGAGGACAUAGGACUAUCCCUCUAACCCUCCUCGUACUUUAUGUUUCUGUUUCUUCCCUCCUCCACUGCCUCCUUUCUCUGCUCUCUGCACGUUUGCCAGGCCUUCAUAAAGCAGCUCGAGGAGGGAGUUAGCUUUCCUUGGUCAUCUUGCCAGCUCUUUCCCAUCAGUCCAGCCCCCUGGAAGAGCCUGCAGACACCCCUCUCUCUAGGCCUGGGGCUGAGCCUGGGGCUGGGGCUGGGGUACGGGCCGAGCGUUUCGAGGCUGGGGCUCCCUCUGGAGAAGCUCUUUGGCUGCGGCGUCUCAGGCCUGGAUUCAGUCUGCGGCUCCGACCCGCAGCGCCCGAAGGAACCUUGCUUUACACGUGAAAGCCUGUUUCAUCUCCUCCGUUUAUAAUAAGGAUAGAAAGUGAGAGGGGGAGAGAGGGAGAGAGAGAGAGGGGUGGGGGGUGCGACUUCAGCAGUCUGUCUGGCAGCGGCCGUCCGCUGGAUAGCGAGGGAACAUUCUGGGACAGGGAAUGGCGUUGGAUGGCGAACAGAGGUGGCAGGGAAGACUGAGCUUCCAUAACCUCUGUCUCCACGGAAUCUGAGCUAUUGGCUCCCUCUCUUUGGUUGGAUGCUUUCGCUCGCCCCAUCACAACCAAUCAGACUCCCAGGCCGGGGUCUAAUGGAACCUGGGGAGCUGAGACCCGGUAUCUGAUUGGCCGCCGGCCCCCGUGGAACGACUGCGAAAUUGGUGGCAAUCUGCUGGAGAGAGCUGCAUUGUGGGGCUUGUCUCAUCUUGCAGACCGGGCGUGUGGUUGCGUCAGUGAGACCGUGCUGAUUGGUGCAAACUGUGAUCGUCCAUUUUCAUUUAAUGAAGCCGGUGAAACCUGCAGACAAUGAGCUGCAGGAUUCAUGUGGUGAAAACAAACCAGGCGUUUCCCUGAGAACACAAACCUUUUAUUUCAACACGUGCGCGUCCUCAACCUGCUGUAUUCCCUGCAUGAACACAGCAGCCAUGUCUUCAUGUCAUGAGAGAAAGUGAAGCAGAAAUGUGUUGGAGAUUUUCGUCCAGUUCUUGUUAUUCCAAAAUAAACGCUGAUACGUUUCCUGAUGGGUUUCUUUUUUUUUUUGUAAGAAUAACUGAAGAUAAGAAGCGACGAGCUGGAACACUGAGGGACUUUAAAGAUGGAGCCAGGCCCAUACUGUACACACACACACACACACACACACACACACACUGAGACAUGGAGGGAGAGGGAAUGCAUCCACACCCAGCUCACACAUCCUACACACCCACCCACGCACACAUGCCCACACAUACUUGAGCAACAAACAGCACAUGCACAUAACCAGUGAACCAACGUCGCUUACUGCAGAAGUGCAACUUGUGUUUGCACAAACACACACACACAUACACACACCACACACACACACACACACACACACACAUACUUGUACAGUGGUCACCCCCUACUUUGAGGCUAAGGCAGGGUAAUGAUUCAGUUCCUCUUUGCUUCCCUCAGAAUGUGUGUGUGUGUGUGUGUGUGUGUGUGUGUGUGUGUGUGUGUACUCAUCUGUGUGUAUAUUUGCUCUAUAUGUGUGCACAGUUGUCACUUUGUGAAUGUGUGUGUGUGUGUGUGUGUGUGAGUGAAUGUGGAUGUGGUCAGGCCCAGUCAUCUUCCAGGCAGCUCAGAGGAAAGCCACAUCAACUGCCAUACACCACACUCUAGGAAUAGACUUGCCCAGUGCAGGCAGGAAUGGAAUGGCACGCCUGGCCUCACCCCUCCUCACACCGCCGCCUCACCCAUCCUCAGCCGCUCACCCCCUUUCCUACAUCCACCUUCCUCACCCUCCAGCCGUCUGCACCCUUCACUCACUCACUCACUCUCUCACUCACUCACUCACUCUCUCAUCACUCACUCACUCACUCACUCACUCACUCACUCACUCACUCACUCGCUCACUCACUCAUUCAUUCAUUCUUUUCUGUUACUUCCUCCUUUCUCACAUGACGCUCUACUUUCUGUCACCACUGACCCGAGGAAGGCUACAGACAGACAGAUGUGUGUGUGUGUGUGUGUGUGUGUGUGUGUGUGUGUGUGUGUGAUGAGUUUUGUGUCUCUCCUUUAAACCAGUAUCAUCUCCAGCGCAGUGAUGAUCCCUCACUGGCUUCCCACUGGUGAACACCACCUAUAAUUAAACCUGGAGUGUCUCCUGCGGUCCUUCGUUUCUCCGCUCCCCCGCUGUGAUGUGUGUUUAAAAAUACACCAGCUGGUAUCACUUCAGUCAAAUGAAGGGGGGGGUUUUGAAGCUGUGAGAGAGUUUCACUUCUUCCGUCGGCCUCUGACCUCGUCCACGUUCGUGUCUCACUCGACCCAAACGCUUCGCUUUGAGUGGAACAAAAAGAAUUUAGGAAUCCGACCUGUUGGUGUGUGUUUGAGCUGUUCAGCUGCUGCAGGAGGAGGCGGAGCUAACGGCUCCUGUUAAUGUCACACUUGUUCUUCUAGUCUUAUCUUCUCCCCGGGACUCCUGACCUCACCUGGCUCUUCUUCUGUCUUUGCAGGUUCCGCACAGAUUCCUCCCUCCUGUUCCCGCUGCCGCUCCCCGCAGAGGUGGACUCAGCUGUGUCUACGGAAGUGCGUCGCCUUCCUUCCCGCCCCGGGCGUGACCGGACCCGGCGGCGGGGGCCCUGGCGCUCCGCGGCUCUCUGGCCGCUGUCAGUUGCUCAGUAGGCAGUGUAGAUCCUGUGUAGCAAUCAGCAGCUACAUCUGGCUACUGGGUCUCCGACGGCUCGGCCUACUUCCCGGUCGAGCGUGCCCGCUCCCUCUCCCAUUGGCCGGUGGCACAUUCCUUCCCCCUGAUUGGCUGCGAUGUCAGGGGGGCUAGAUCCUGUGACCCCCACAGACAGGAUGUUCUCUGUGUCACAACUCCACAAGGGGCCCUUUCAAGGUUUUUUUGUGUGUUUUUUUUUUCACUCCUUCCUCUUCCGCCAUUCUUCUUUUUAAUUCUGUGUUUCUGUCUCUCUCUCUCUCUGUCUCUCUCUCUGUCUUUCUCUCUGUCUCUCUCUUUCUCUCUCUGUCUCUCUCUCUCGCUCCCUCUCUCCCUCUCUCUCUCUCUCCCUCUCUCUCUGCCUCUCGCUCUCUCUCUCCCUCUCUCUCUCUCCCUCUCUCUCUCUGUCUCUCUCUCUG